RNAcentral lists this ribosomal RNA (511 nucleotides) under uncultured bacterium. RNAcentral's name for it is "bacterial SSU rRNA". It matches the Rfam family "Bacterial small subunit ribosomal RNA", at positions 14 to 518 of the family's 1533-position model. The record is from RNAcentral.
AGAUCUUGGUUCAGGAUGAACGCUAGCGGCAGGCUUAACACAUGCAAGUCGAGGGGCAUCGGGAGUAGCAAUACUUGCCGGCGACCGGCGCAAGGGUGCGUAACGCGUGAGCAACAUGCCCGUAUCAGGGGGAUAAUCCAUGGAAACGUGGUCUAAUACCCCAUAGUAAUUAUGUAAGGCAUCUUAUAUAAUUUAAAGCUUUGGUGGAUACGGAUUGGCUCGCGUGACAUUAGCUAGAUGGUAAGGUAACGGCUUACCAUGGCUACGAUGUCUAGGGGUUCUGAGAGGAAGGUCCCCCCACACUGGAACUGAGACACGGUCCAGACUCCUACGGGAGGCAGCAGUGAGGAAUAUUGGACAAUGGAUGGAAAUCUGAUCCAGCCAUGCCGCGUGCAAGGAAGACGGCCCCAUGGGUUGUAAACUGCUUUUGUGUGGGAGCAAUAAGGGCUACGCGUAGUCCGAUGAGAGUACCAUACGAAUAAGCACCGGCUAACUCCGUGCCAGCCGCUGC